RNAcentral lists this ribosomal RNA (440 nucleotides) under uncultured bacterium. RNAcentral's name for it is "partial 16S ribosomal RNA". It matches the Rfam family "Bacterial small subunit ribosomal RNA", at positions 338 to 795 of the family's 1533-position model. The record is from RNAcentral.
CCUACGGGAGGCAGCAGUGGGGAAUAUUGCACAAUGGGGGAAACCCUGAUGCAGCGACGCCGCGUGAGUGAAGAAGUAUCUCGGUAUGUAAAGCUCUAUCAGCAGGGAAGAAAAUGACGGUAUCUGACUUAGAAGCCCCGGCUAACUACGUGCCAGCAGCCGCGGUAAUACGUAGGGGGCAAGCGUUAUCCGGAUUUACUGGGUGUAAAGGGGGCGUAGACGGCGGCACAAGUCAGAAGUGAAAGCCCACGGCUUAACCAUGGUACUGCACUGGAAACUGUGGGUCUUGAGUGCGGGAGGGGCAAGCGGAAUUCCUAGUGUAGCGGUGAAAUGCGUAGAUAUAAGGAAGAACACCAGCGGCGAAGGCGGACGACUGGACCGUAACUGACGUUGAGGCUCGAAAGCGUGGGGAGCAAACAGGAUUAGAUACCCGUGUAGUC